Molecule: ribosomal RNA, 435 nt
Filed under: uncultured bacterium
Lineage: Bacteria
Description: bacterial SSU rRNA
Rfam family: Bacterial small subunit ribosomal RNA
Source: RNAcentral
AACGCGAAGAACCUUACCAAGACUUGACAUCCUGCUGAAAGGUGUAGAGAUACAUCCUCCCUUCGGGGCAGCAGAGACAGGUGGUGCAUGGUUGUCGUCAGCUCGUGUCGUGAGAUGUUGGGUUAAGUCCCGCAACGAGCGCAACCCUUAUCAUUAGUAGCCAUCAGGUAAAGCUGGGCACUCUAAUGAGACUGCCGUGGAUAACACGGAGGAAGGUGGGGAUGACGUCAAAUCAUCAUGCCCCUUAUGUCUUGGGCUACACACGUGCUACAAUGGCUGCAACAAAGUGAAGCAAAACCGCGAGGUGAAGCAAAGCACAAAAAAGCAGUCCCAGUUCGGAUUGUAGUCUGCAACUCGACUACAUGAAGUCGGAAUCGCUAGUAAUUGCAAAUCAGAAUGUUGCGGUGAAUACGUUCCCGGGUCUUGUACACACCG